Molecule: RNA transcript, 2980 nt
Organism: Vanessa tameamea
Lineage: Eukaryota; Metazoa; Arthropoda; Insecta; Lepidoptera; Nymphalidae
Exons: 13
Source: RefSeq, a predicted model, not a curated record
UUGAUUUUACCAUUUGUGUCGGUUCGGAGCGCGGAGCGCACGUCUGUCGCGAGCGCUCCCUAACAAAGCCUUACCUCCAGCGGUUUGCCGUCAUUGUCGCCAUAACCCAACCGUGAAUUUGUUAUCCAAACCGUAACAUCAUCGUUUACAAUUAUUUUCAUAUAUUUUUUGUAAAGUGAACCAGUGAUAGUAAUGUCGAAUUGUUACAGUCCAGUGAAAAUAUGAAACACUGAUCAACAAUGUUAAGUUACAUUUAUCUACGUCUUGGAGAAAUGUAUCCGUGUUGAAAUAUUAAAUCCUGUGUUGGAAUUUCAAAGUACGGCAAUGUACGCGAUGUCAACGACGUCAACAACGACGUCAGGUUCGCGCGCUGACCUGACGGCUACCACGGUGGAGCGACGGGUACGCGUAGUCCGCCUCCUGCGACCGCGCAAGGCUGCACCUGCUUUCGGCUUUUCCCUUCGAGGCGGGCGAGAAUACGCCACAGGUUUCUUCAUCUCGAAAGUUGAGCUUAACUCCGAGGCUCAUCUUCAAGGAUUAAAGGUUGGCGAUCAAGUAGUAAGCGUUAAUGGUUACCGAGUGGACGACGCGGUCCACGCAGAGCUGGUCCAUUACAUCACCUCACAGUCUAGGCUAAAGAUCAAAGUUAGGCAUGUGGGGAUGGUUCCUGUUAAAGAAAAAGAUCAAGAAUCUUUGUCUUGGCAGUUCGUAUCAGAGCGAGCGUCUCUCGCUUCGGACGUAUCCUCUUCACCAACAUUGUGUCACAACACUGAACACUUGGCGGAUUUGCGACUGUCAAUAUUAGUGCCACCACGAGCUAAGCUUGGUUGCGGUAUUUGUAAAGGUCCUGAUUGGAAACCGGGAAUUUUUGUACAGUUCGUAAGAGAAGGCGGCAUUGCGCGAGAAGCUGGCUUAAGACCGGGUGAUCAAAUCUUAUCGUGCAACGGCCACGACUUUGCUAAUAUAUCUUUUAAUGAGGCCAUAUCAGCGAUGAAAGCGAGCGGUAGACUCGAGCUCGUCAUCCGAGAGGGCACUGGAGCCGAGUUAGUGUCACCUGAGAGCUCUGGUUACAAUAGCUCUGCAUCUUCAGCUGCGGGCGAGCGUAGUCCGGCGCCGGCCGCACCCGUCAUACCCCUCGCACCACCGGCCGCUUUGCGAAGACGACUCGCAAGUGUAGCUGAAGAAGCCGCAGAUAGAGCGGACAGGUUGACGAUGAAUAGAAUAAAACGAAGAACAUGGGACAGCUUAGACUUCGAUUGGAAGAACAAAGACAUUCAUAAUUUUGACGCACCUUCUGACAUAGAGCCUGAUUAUGAUUGUCCCAGCAUACCAAAUAAUCCCCACACGUACGAAAGUAAGUCUCAUAUCAAAAGUAAAACUAUAACGGAAUAUGAACCUACGAAAGUAACGAGCCCAUUAAAUAGAACAAUAAUAAAUUUAACCGAAGAUGGCGCUACAAUACAAUGUAGUUACGAUAACAACACAACUAGGAAGAAUAUGUUUCCAACGACUCAAACAAUUAGAGAAAAAGAGAAGAAAACUAUUGUAGUAGAAGUUCAUCACAUGAAUACAACGACUUGUGCUAAGACACAUUGUAAUUUUCCCCCACCUUUUGUAAAAGAAAUUGAUGCAGACUCUACAAGUAUAGCUAGUUCAGCCACAUUAUCAAGUGCCAUUGCUGAAGAGAUACAGAGAAGAAAAUUGAACAAGACAACAACUCCAGAAAAGGAAAUUAAUCCAAUACCAGUCAAGAAACCCAACAUUCCAAAGGCUAUAGAUAAUGACCAAAAAAAGCAUCACGACGCAUUAAUGGACGAAUUUAAGAAGGUUCACCGAAAAAUGUUUGCGAAUCAAGAUACGGUGAACGGUGAUCUAAAUAAAGAAAAUCAGAUGGACUGUUUGGAUCGACAAUCAACUCUACCGAUUAGGAAAGCUGAUCAACUACCAAUGGAAUUAAUAAAUGAUAAACAGCAAGAUAAACGAGAAUUAAUACAGAAGCCGCCUCCUCCUCCUCCGAUGCCGUUUUCAAACGGACAACAAAACGGCGACCAUAAUAAAUCAUCUGAUGGUGACUUAGGAAAAUCGGAAAACCAGGACAUAAUUAAAAUACCAAACCUAAGAAAAGUUGCAACAUUAAAUAGGAUACCAACAACUGAUUAUAACAAUAAAACAGAUAUGCUGAUAAAGACACGAAAUUUAAAAGAUGAAAAUGCUGAAGUGGAAUCACUAGAAUCCUAUAAAUUAAAAAAUCCCAUAAAUGUUGCGCCUAAAGCACCUUCUAAUUAUUUCAUUAAAGCACCAAAUGGUUCAACAACUAUGAAGAAACAUGCACGGCCAGUUUCUGUCACUAUAGGAGAAUAUGUCAACAAUAUUGGCAGGAAAGAACCAUCAAAACUAGAUUUUCUAAAUGGUAAUAAAUCUGAUACCCAUAGAAUGGCUGGUGAUGAACCAAUUACUAGUAGACUUCAAUCAGAGUUAGCUCUUACAUUAUCUAGAUCGAAUUUACGUAAAAAGACUGAAGCUUUAGCCCAAGCUUCUAAAAUAAAACCUUUAACAAUAAAAUUAAAUGCAAAUGAUGAAAAUUUUCAUGCCAGAUACGGCAAUAAUCUUUUGCCGCUACCUCCAUCGAUAACAAUUCCUAAAGUAUCAAUUUUAAAAUACUGAUCAUCCAUUAUUACUGAUUAGGUCUUUAAGCAUAAUUCUACAAAACGCCCUCGUAAUAAUUCAUUUAUGGUGAUGGAGGUCGAUAAAAACUGUUUUUUUAAACAAGAUGAAGAAGCUUAUUUAAUAGAGUAUGUGAUAAAUUUCGACCUUAUCAUAUUUAUUUCCAAGAUAAAUCAUCGAAGUAAACGAUAGUCUAGAGUUAUAUUUUUAUCGCGUGUGCUUAUGUUUGCUGUCUUGUUGCAACCGUAAAAUAUGUAUAUCUCAAUUUUUAAUGAUUAUAUUAUGCCAAAACUAUGUAAACUGAAAUUGAAAUUGU